Molecule: long non-coding RNA, 1070 nt
Filed under: Triticum aestivum (bread wheat)
Lineage: Eukaryota; Viridiplantae; Streptophyta; Magnoliopsida; Poales; Poaceae
Description: long non-coding RNA (TAES_LNC000729)
Source: RNAcentral
UGACAAUAUGAUAUUGCUUUGUACAAAAAUGGGUAGUGUUUUUCUCACAAAGUCAUAUAGCAACUAACCUAUGCUUUACAAAUCAAAUGCUUUCAAACUUGAGGACAUGAAUUUCAAAGGGAUGUUUUGACGCAUUUACAAAUGGUGUAUCCGUUGAACUAGAAUUUACAUAGUAGUGACUAAGUAUUCGUUGAACUACAAUUUACAUAGUAGUAGCCACUGCUCUAAUUACUCACAGAUAUUUAAUUAAGCUUAGCAUAGUAUCCACUCAGCACGCAACUUGAAUGAUCAUGAAAAUCCAAUACUAAUCAUCUUUGAAUCCCUGCACUCAAAGAAAAAAUGUCAUACUUUUGUAUUACCAAUGGAAAAGGCAAAGUAACACACUCAAAAUUACAUAUUAAAGAAGGAAAGAGAAUGUUUAUCUCACUGAUCAAAAUGAAACAUGCUACAAUAUCAGACAAACGAAAAAUGGGAAAGAAGCAGAGUAGGUCAGUGCAUUCAAACUAUAUGUAUCAGUUUUGUGACACGCGACCCCAUCUAACAGAAUAUCAAGUCAUGUCACUAGGAAAAUGUAUCAGUAAUUUGUAUUAUUGCUUCUAAUCAAUACAUCAUGACCAACAACUUUGAGCUUGUAAAAAGGAAAAGUAGUAUAUGUUAGAUAGCUAGACAUCUUGCCAAAUCAUCAUCACGCUGGUGAGGGCGAGUGAUUCCUAGCUACAAUUUUUUAGUGUCAACCACACUUUUGUUUAAAGAGGGAUGUUCUAAAUUGCAUCAGAACUUGAAGGCACGUCAAUACUGAUUAGUACAACAACAAAUAUCAAGCAGCAGAUGACAUAUUAGAUAUAGGAAUUUAUCUAUUCAUCAACUAAUUAGCAAUUAGCCCUUGAAAAGAAAUCAUAGUAUUUUGGUUUAAUCACAAGCGUCAUGGAAUCACAAGCUAUGAUAUACUUCUCACUAACUAACCAUGCUGAUUCAAUGUAGAUCUUGUACCUAUCACCCAACACAACAAUUUCAAUAUUAAUGACAUAACCAAUAAGUCCAUACCUAACUUUUAAUCGAAGAAAACAAAC